Molecule: long non-coding RNA, 829 nt
Organism: Ixodes scapularis (black-legged tick)
Lineage: Eukaryota; Metazoa; Arthropoda; Arachnida; Ixodida; Ixodidae
Exons: 2
Source: RefSeq, a predicted model, not a curated record
AGCCUCGAAUGGAGCCGCUGAGCGCCUGGUACAAACUACGAAGACUACCCUGUUGAAACAAGAGACAUGAGGACUAAGCAAGAACGCGAAACUGCACUACGAAACGGCCGGAGAGGUCGGGGAGAGUCGUUUAUAGCAGGUGACAAAGUACUUGUAAAAACGACUAGAGGCGAGGAAGUGUCCUGGGAAGAAGGGCUGGUAACUCAAGUUGUGAGCCCCACUACAUAUUUGGUGAAUGUGAAUAAUCGAACACGGUUCAUCCAUAUGGACCAUCUCCGUGCAAGUUGGGCUUCUUCGACUGGGUCUGUUUUUCCUGAGAUCCCAGCUCCAACACCGAGCGCCACAACGGAAGCAGUCCCGGAGGGCAGCCGCGCUGGUCAACUACCCAGGGCGGAAUCUCCUGCUCCGAGGUUCCACGCCGCUGAGCUCCCGAGUCAAGGCACCGGCUCGGUUCCACACCCAGAGCAGCUCCUCGAGGUGCCUGAGCCCGAUGAUCGACAGCACACUCAACACAACGCUUCUGCCUCCGAGCCUCCUGCAGCUGCUCAGCAAGAUCAAGGCGACGGAUCUGCCUCUGCGUCUUCCACAGCAACAACGCUUCGAAGAGGAAGCCGGACCCGGAAAGCACCGGACCGCUACCAAUCGUACGAGUUUCGUCGUCAAGCCAAGUAGACUCGACCGUAAUGACAUGUAUGGCGGUUUUAAAGGCGGAAGGAAUGUUACAUCUGUAAAGGUCGCAUGUGAUUCGCCCAACGUUAUUACGUCACUCUUGCUUACGUCUAUAAAACAGACUGUCUGGCCGUAAUAAAAGUUCAGUACGUUCCAGCUA